CAAAGUCAUGCCAAGAAGCUAGAAGUAACUCUUUCACAAUACCAGAGCGAUCUCGAUAAAAGGUUUGAGGAGAUUUGAGAACUAAAGGGUCAAGCACAUCGAAGUUUGGAAGAUAGGAACCAAUUGAAGGAUGAAGCUACUCAGUGGGAGAUCCACACCCGUCACCUGCAGUUUUUCCUGGAUUAGAAUGAGGCGUUUGUAUAUGAUCUCUUAAGCGGACUUAACCAUUCCCUAUUGUACAACUUAUCAAGGAUGCACAGUAUUGAA
This 267-nucleotide long non-coding RNA is filed under the name Lathyrus oleraceus (garden pea). RNAcentral's name for it is "Pisum sativum (pea) long non-coding RNA (PSAT_LNC001903)". Lineage: Eukaryota; Viridiplantae; Streptophyta; Magnoliopsida; Fabales; Fabaceae. The record is from RNAcentral.